This 234-nucleotide unclassified non-coding RNA is filed under the name uncultured Synechococcus sp. RNAcentral's name for it is "partial may contain 16S ribosomal RNA, 16S-23S ribosomal RNA intergenic spacer, and 23S ribosomal RNA". The stretch from base 1 to 79 matches the Rfam family "Bacterial small subunit ribosomal RNA", at positions 1455 to 1533 of the family's 1533-position model. Lineage: Bacteria; Bacillati; Cyanobacteriota; Cyanophyceae; Synechococcales; Synechococcaceae. The record is from RNAcentral.
GCCGAAGGUGGGGCUGAUGACUGGGGUGAAGUCGUAACAAGGUAGCCGUACCGGAAGGUGCGGCUGGAUCACCUCCUAACAGGGAGACAAAAAACUGAUUGUGAUGUCUUAGUUAAUUAUUCUUAGGCCGCAAUCCUGUCACCUUAGGUCGAUCGGUACCUCAGAUUAUUAACUAAUAAGAUUUGGUUUUUAAUUUCAGUUCCUAAACUUUUGUCUAGGUCACACCCAUCAAUG